RNAcentral lists this ribosomal RNA (775 nucleotides) under uncultured Neocallimastigales. RNAcentral's name for it is "partial large subunit ribosomal RNA". It matches the Rfam family "Eukaryotic large subunit ribosomal RNA", at positions 23 to 635 of the family's 3401-position model. Lineage: Eukaryota; Fungi; Neocallimastigomycota; Neocallimastigomycetes; Neocallimastigales. The record is from RNAcentral.
ACACGCAUGACACACUGCAUAUCAAUAAGCGGAGGAAAAGAAACUAACUAGGAUUCCCUCAGUAACGGCGAGUGAAGCGGGAAGAGCUCAAAUUUGAAAUCUUCAAGGGUUCUACCUUGACGAAUUGUAGUUUAUAGAAGUGUUUUCUGUUAGUAGAGUGGCAAAAGUUCUUUGGAAUAGGACAUCAUAGAGGGUGAGAAUCCCGUAUUUGGUCAUUCUUCCUAGCUUUGUGAUACACUUUCAACGAGUCGGAUUGUUUGGGAAUGCAGUCCAAAAUGGGUGGUAAAUUUCAUCUAAAGCUAAAUAUUGGCGAGAGACCGAUAGCGAACAAGUACCGUGAGGGAAAGAUGAAAAGAACUUUGAAAAGAGAGUUAAACAGUACGUGAAAUUGUCAAAAGGGAAGCGUUUGACACCAGUGUUGUUUUUCCGAAAAUCAAUUACGAAUGUUUUGUUUUUAGAGAGUUAUGACUUCAUCGGCUUGCUCCUUUCUUUAUGAAACUUUCUUAAUGCACUUUUCGGUUAACAAGUCAACAUCAAUUUCUUUUGUUGUAAAAGGGUAUGAGGAAGGUGGCUUUCUUUUCGGAGAAAGUGUUUAUAGCCUUGUGCCUCUGCAAUCGGAGAGAUUGAGGUCUGCAGCGUAGAUCCUUCGGGGUUAGAUACAUUUGUGCUAAGUUAUAGCUUUUCAUAGACAACUUGUUGAUUAUGUUAAGUCUUGUAGCUUACUCGCUUAUGCUAUUUUACCUACGCUUAGGAUGUUGAAGAUGUAGCACAUCAU